Long non-coding RNA from Myotis myotis, 1256 nucleotides. RefSeq lists it as uncharacterized. The transcript is spliced from 3 exons. The record is from RefSeq and is a predicted model, not a curated record. Lineage: Eukaryota; Metazoa; Chordata; Mammalia; Chiroptera; Vespertilionidae.
GCGCAUCGACGGUCGCAGUGGGAGCAGAGGCUGCGCGCAGCCUGGACACCUGCCCCACGCCCUCCUGGAGCCCGGCAUUGAGUCCAGAACCGGGUUGUGGCGGUGGCUGGAGACUUGGAACCCUUGGUGGGAGGGGCCUCCCCUCUUCCGGGACCUGCAGCGCGGACCUCGGCACCCCGCGGAGAUCUGUCCUCGGAAGCGGCGCUUUGGGGACUGGGCGUGACUAGACCCGAAGGAUUUGCUGAGCUUGCGGCGCGCACCUGCCUGGGCGCGAAAGGGCGCGCGGGCCCCCAGCCUGGCCACCCACGUGACUCUGCCCCCCCGCUGGACACGCUGGAGGGGCCUGGGCAGGGGCGCUUUCCAUCCGUGGGGCGGUGCGGGCGGGGGAGCAGGAUGGAGGGGACUGGACAACUGGGCCCGGUUCCUUUUGCUUACUCUUUGUUUCAGCCCCUUUUCAUUGACUGGGCACUUCCUUGCAGGGGAGUUGUGUUUCCUUAAAAUGGCGACAGGAAAUCCCACCUGCGCGCCAGCCACCAAUUAGACUGUCAUCAUAGAGCGAAUUUGCGGGGCGGAAACUCGAGCUUUUUAUUGACAGGAAUGGUUCAGUCUCCGUGUUCCAUCAAAACAGGAAAGGGAAGCACCACCGGAAAAGCGAGAAGAUAGCCAAAUUUCCCAACCCUCAUAACUAAAAUCCUGUUGCCGUGGAAUGGCAGUAAAUGAUCUUCUUUAGCUCAACAAUGGCUUCCUGAGAACCCCAUUUAGGAGGAAUGCUUUUGAAUAAACCUGAGAAACUGAACAGUCAUUGCCAACAGAAGAGGGUAAAACGAUGGGCAGCCUAUCUCAGACAGACCUGCCAUCAAAAUCUAUCUGACAGUUAUUGCUUCCUUCACCCACUUUUGUCCUUAUCCUGUUCCCCACUUUGUUAAAAAAAAAGGGGGGGGGUAAUAGGACCCACAUCAUAGUAAUAUUCUACAAGUUAUCAAAAAGUUGAUUCUCCCCCUCUCCCCUUUCCAUCCUAGAAGCAGCUCAUUUAGUAUAAAAUUACUCAUUUUAAGUAGUGUGCAUCUUGCCUGACUGGCACCAUAAUUCUUAUGAAAAACUAAGAAGUCUGAAUAGGCAAAGUAGGUAAACUAUGGUCACAGGUCCAUAAGCCUGUUGAAAUGUUUACCUUAUUAAACAGAAUGUAUAUUCACUAAUGUUGGUUUGCAGAGCUUAUCUUUUUUUAAAAUAUACUUUAUUGAUUUUUUACAGAGAGG